CCUACGGGUGGCAGCAGUCGAGAAUCAUUCACAAUGGGGGAAACCCUGAUGGUGCGACGCCGCGUGGGGGAAUGAAGGUCUUCGGAUUGUAAACCCCUUUCAUGUGGGAGCAAAUUAAAAAGAUAGUACCACAAGAGGAAGAGACGUCUAACUCUGUGCCAGCAGCCGCGGUAAUACAGAGGUCUCAAGCGUUGUUCGGAAUCACUGGGCGUAAAGCGUGCGGGGGCUGUUUCGUAAGGCGUGUGUGAAAGGCGCGGGCUCAACCCGCGGACGGCACAUGAUACUGCGAGACUAGAGUAAGGGAGGGGGAACCGGAAUUCUCGGUGUAGCAGUGAAAUGCGUAGAUAUUGAGAGGAACACUCGUGGCGAAGGCGGGUUCCUGGACAUUAACUGACGCUGAGGCACGAAGGCCAGGGGAGCGAAAGGGAUUAGAUACCCGGGUAGUC
Molecule: ribosomal RNA, 446 nt
Filed under: uncultured bacterium
Lineage: Bacteria
Description: partial 16S ribosomal RNA
Rfam family: Bacterial small subunit ribosomal RNA
Source: RNAcentral